GCGAAUGAUUAUACAUUUUUAACCCUGAGCUUCUGCGCUGAGGAUCAAUAAGCGACAACAACACUCUAAUUUUUUAAUGACG
Molecule: small nucleolar RNA, 82 nt
Filed under: Penicilliopsis zonata CBS 506.65
Lineage: Eukaryota; Fungi; Ascomycota; Eurotiomycetes; Eurotiales; Aspergillaceae
Description: A. fimigatus snoRNA Afu_298
Rfam family: A. fimigatus snoRNA Afu_298
Source: Rfam by way of RNAcentral